This 74-nucleotide transfer RNA is filed under the name Mycobacterium phage LolaVinca. Its description in RNAcentral is "tRNA-Met". It matches the Rfam family "tRNA". From Rfam's summary of the family: Transfer RNA (tRNA) molecules are approximately 80 nucleotides in length. Their secondary structure includes four short double-helical elements and three loops (D, anti-codon, and T loops). Lineage: Duplodnaviria; Heunggongvirae; Uroviricota; Caudoviricetes. The record is from RNAcentral.
UGCCUCACUAGCUCAUUGGUAGAGCCGCUCGCUCAUAACGUGCAGGUACCUGGUUCGAUUCCAGGGUGAGGUAC